CAAAGGGUAGUUUAACUUAAGAUCUUAGCUUUGGGAGCUAAGGAUGGAAGUUAGAGUCUUCCCCCUUUGA
This 70-nucleotide transfer RNA is filed under the name Uropterygius concolor (unicolor snake moray). RNAcentral's name for it is "tRNA-Pro". It matches the Rfam family "tRNA". Rfam says of the family: Transfer RNA (tRNA) molecules are approximately 80 nucleotides in length. The record is from RNAcentral. Lineage: Eukaryota; Metazoa; Chordata; Actinopteri; Anguilliformes; Muraenidae.